UAUAAGGCUAUAGCUAGCAUUUUUGUUAACGAAAUAGCUUUUGAAAAUUUACAUAUACCCAUAUAAACCCAAAAACCAUUUAUGGUUUAUACAUAUAACCAUAGAUAAGAGCUUUUCAAUCGGGAUUUUAAAAGGAGAAGUAAUAUUAAAUACAAUUGAUUACUUUUUAUAAGCGUAAAUUCAUUUUACUAUUUUAUAAAAUUUUUCAAACGAAAAAAGGAGAAGGCGAGAGAGAGAAUUGGGGAGGCAAUAAGUUUAGCGGCGACGACCUUCCCAGAACUUCCAGCUUCCACAUGUGCCUGUCAGAAAGGAAACCCAAUCACAUAAAUCAAAGAAAACAAUAAAAAAAAUGGGUAAAGAA
Long non-coding RNA from Drosophila pseudoobscura, 361 nucleotides. RefSeq lists it as uncharacterized. The transcript has 2 exons. NCBI's taxonomy places the organism in Eukaryota, Metazoa, Arthropoda, Insecta, Diptera, Drosophilidae. The record is from RefSeq and is a predicted model, not a curated record.